CGAAGAUUGUCAUUUUUAUAAUGGAAAAUAUCAGAACAAAAAUUAUGUUUUCUACAAAUUUAAUGACUUUUCACCAAAAAUUUAGGAUUAGUAUUUAAACUCUCUCACACUAUGUAGGUUAUUUCUAAUCUCAUCAUAUCGACACUGACACUGCUGCUACCUUCGGCUGACACCGCCUCCACCUCCGCCGUUUGUUCACUCCGAUUCCUUAGAAAUUGUUACCGUUUUUCAAAUCCCUUGCUAGUCUAUCAUCAACUAUGGAAGUGGAAAUCGAACUCUCUCUAGGCUUUUUCAACUUAACCUUCUCAUGGCCGUUGCCGUUCAUAGAAGACCAAGAUCUUGCAAAGUUAUUCUUUGGCCUAUUGGUUGGAGUUCUCGUUGUUGUUGCGGUCUCUUUCCCCGCGUUAGGAAGACCCAGGCAAGCAGCAGUCACCACCCAGAAGUGGGCCAAGGCUAGGGCUAAAACUCAAAAGGGGUGUUCCCCCUCACCCAUGUGAAGAUGAGUCUUUUUUUUGUUUGGUCAUAUUUCUUUCGUUUUUUUACUUCUUGUUUUGGUAUCAAUUUCGGGUAGAAAAGCCCGGCCCGUGGGUAUGGCUUCUUUUUUCUUUCUUUUGUCAUCUUUCUUGUUCUUUUUUGUUUUUUGGACUUUGUGACUUGGGUAUGGCUUCCUCUUCGUUUCGGGUCCCGUUUUCUUUCUUUUCUUUUUUGAACUUCCUUUUUUCAGUGUAUUGAUC
RNAcentral lists this long non-coding RNA (734 nucleotides) under Arachis ipaensis. RNAcentral describes it as "long non-coding RNA (AIPA_LNC001862)". Lineage: Eukaryota; Viridiplantae; Streptophyta; Magnoliopsida; Fabales; Fabaceae. The record is from RNAcentral.